AUGGGGAUGGUGAGCCACAAGCAUCUGAGCAGGCUGGACUCGCAGGUUAGGAUUGGAGCUGCUGCUCCAGGAAGGGCACCUUGCCCUGGGCGACCCAACGCUCUUGAGAAGGCAAUACGGGGGUUCACUGACAAACCGGGUGACAUUGUAAUCGUGCUUGCACUGGGUACAAGCUUUGACACACUCGGGGAGGCCUAUGAUUUUUCCAAUCUCUACUCGUGGGAGAAGGGAUUUGGAAUAAGAUACAGGAAGAGUAUACUGAAUGUGGAGAGGACAAAAUGCAUGCAGGAAAUUGUUUGCGGCUGUGCGGGUAAAGCUGGGGUGGAGAACAGUAGAUCGUGCCGUGACUGCCCUGCAUUAAUAAGGUAUCUCCGCUCAAAGGCAAUGGUUGGUACAUAG
RNAcentral lists this ribosomal RNA (399 nucleotides) under Triticum aestivum (bread wheat). RNAcentral describes it as "partial small subunit ribosomal RNA". Lineage: Eukaryota; Viridiplantae; Streptophyta; Magnoliopsida; Poales; Poaceae. The record is from RNAcentral.